This 28-nucleotide small RNA is filed under the name Bombyx mori (domestic silkworm). RNAcentral's name for it is "ovarian small RNA-34781". The record is from RNAcentral. Lineage: Eukaryota; Metazoa; Arthropoda; Insecta; Lepidoptera; Bombycidae.
UGGCAUUGAAUUUCCAAUAGGCUGAUUA